AGAGUUUGAUCCUGGCUCAGGAUGAACGCUGGCGGCGUGCUUAACACAUGCAAGUCGAACGGAGUUUUUAAACGGAAGUUUUCGGAUGGAAGUUUAGGAACUUAGUGGCGGACGGGUGAGUAACGCGUGGGUAACCUGCCUCAUACAGGGGGAUAACAGUUAGAAAUGACUGCUAACACCGCAUAAUAUAGCGAAACCGCAUGAUUUUUGCUAUCAAAUAUUUAUAGGUAUGAGAUGGGCCCGCGUCUGAUUAGCUAGUUGGUGGGGUAAAAGCCUACCAAGGCGACGAUCAGUAGCCGGCUUGAGAGAGUGACCGGCCACAUUGGGACUGAGACACGGCCCAAACUCCUACGGGAGGCAGCAGUGGGGAAUAUUGGACAAUGGGGGGAACCCUGAUCCAGCGACGCCCGCGUGAGUGAAGAAGUAUUUCGGUAUGUAAAGCUCUAUCAGCAGGGAAGAUAAUGACAGUACCCUGACUAAGAAGCCCCGGCUAACUACGUGCCAGCAGCAGC
RNAcentral lists this ribosomal RNA (512 nucleotides) under uncultured bacterium. RNAcentral describes it as "bacterial SSU rRNA". It matches the Rfam family "Bacterial small subunit ribosomal RNA", at positions 8 to 518 of the family's 1533-position model. The record is from RNAcentral.